Molecule: ribosomal RNA, 226 nt
Filed under: uncultured bacterium
Lineage: Bacteria
Description: partial 16S ribosomal RNA
Rfam family: Bacterial small subunit ribosomal RNA
Source: RNAcentral
CACGUAGGGCGCGAGCGUUGUCCGGAAUUACUGGGCGUAAAGGGCGCGUAGGCGGCCUGUUAAGUCGAACGUGAAAUCCCCGGGCUCAACCCGGGGAACUGCGUCCGAUACUGGCAGGCUUGAAUCCGGGGAGAGGGAUGCGGAAUUCCAGGUGUAGCGGUGAAAUGCGUAGAUAUCUGGAGGAACACCGGGUGGCGAAGGCGGCAUCCUGGACCAACACUGACGU